GGCCCGAUCGAUUGGUGAAUUUGCCCAGCCGGCAGACCUGCCCCGACCAGGCCUUACUGUCUUCCAGGAAAGGGGUGGAGAAGCCCCUCUGCCCUGCUGAGCAAGUUUGUCCCUCAACUGGCUGGUGACCGCUGCUCCUCUCUGGACUUCAGUUGCCCCAUCUGCGAAAUGAGCUUGCCUGAGUCCUGGGCUCAGCCUCUAAGGUUGAGGGGUCUGCAGUGGCUUCAGGCUGUGGUCUGGCUCUGUAGACCUUGAUGUGGUUGCAACGUUGUGGGAAAGGGGUGAAUUCGACAGGGAUCUUGGGCCCCCAACUACCCCUUCUGCCAGGACACC
This 333-nucleotide long non-coding RNA is filed under the name Dasypus novemcinctus (nine-banded armadillo). RNAcentral describes it as "lncRNA (ENSDNOG00000050377.1)". The record is from RNAcentral. Lineage: Eukaryota; Metazoa; Chordata; Mammalia; Cingulata; Dasypodidae.